CCAUUUAAGUACCGGGUAUCGUGCGAUCACCGAAGUUAAGCAACUUUGUGCUUGUUUAGUACCUAGAUGGUGACCACUUGUGAAUACCAAGUACC
Non-coding RNA from Acanthosepion pharaonis, 95 nucleotides. Lineage: Eukaryota; Metazoa; Mollusca; Cephalopoda; Sepiida; Sepiidae. The record is from the annotation of a GenBank genome assembly.